UACGCAGGGGGCUAGCGUUGCUCGGAAUCACUGGGCGUAAGGGGUGCGUAGGCGGGUCUUUAAGUCAGGGGUGAAAUCCUGGAGCUCAACUCCAGAACUGCCUUUGAUACUGAAGAUCUUGAGUUCGGGAGAGGUGAGUGGAACUGCGAGUGUAGAGGUGAAAUUCGUAGAUAUUCGCAAGAACACCAGUGGCGAAGGCGGCUCACUGGCCCGAUACUGACGCUGAGGCACGAAAGCGUGGGGAGCAAACAGG
RNAcentral lists this ribosomal RNA (253 nucleotides) under uncultured bacterium. Its description in RNAcentral is "partial 16S ribosomal RNA". It matches the Rfam family "Bacterial small subunit ribosomal RNA", at positions 524 to 776 of the family's 1533-position model. The record is from RNAcentral.